This 235-nucleotide long non-coding RNA is filed under the name Elaeis guineensis (African oil palm). RNAcentral describes it as "long non-coding RNA (EGUI_LNC074205)". Lineage: Eukaryota; Viridiplantae; Streptophyta; Magnoliopsida; Arecales; Arecaceae. The record is from RNAcentral.
GGACAUUCAGAGGCUAUAUGACCGUAACCAAGAUACUUGAAACACUUGAUAUCUCGACUUCAUCUGGGAGGUUGUGAAUUCUCCACCUUCUCUUUUUCUUUAGCCGCAUCUGUGACUUGCUUGCUAGAAUCACAUUUUUCUACUUGUUUUGGAACCGCCUUAGGGACGGACCAUGGUGAUAAGGAAGACGAGUUGGUAGUCUUACUUGGCUUACUUGCAGCACGCUUACGCUGUC